This 447-nucleotide ribosomal RNA is filed under the name uncultured bacterium. Its description in RNAcentral is "partial 16S ribosomal RNA". It matches the Rfam family "Bacterial small subunit ribosomal RNA", at positions 29 to 523 of the family's 1533-position model. The record is from RNAcentral.
AACGAACGCUGGCGGCAGGCCUAACACAUGCAAGUCGAGCGCCCCGCAAGGGGAGCGGCGGACGGGUGAGUAACGCGUGGGAACGUACCCUUUGCUACGGAAUAGCCUCGGGAAACUGGGAGUAAUACCGUAUGUGCUCUUCGGAGGAAAGAUUUAUCGGCAAAGGAUCGGCCCGCGUUGGAUUAGGUAGUUGGUGGGGUAAUGGCCUACCAAGCCGACGAUCCAUAGCUGGUUUGAGAGGAUGAUCAGCCACACUGGGACUGAGACACGGCCCAGACUCCUACGGGAGGCAGCAGUGAGGAAUCUUAGACAAUGGGCGCAAGCCUGAUCUAGCCAUGCCGCGUGAGCGAUGAAGGCCUUAGGGUUGUAAAGCUCUUUCAGUGGGGAAGAUAAUGACUGUACCCACAGAGGAAGCCCCGGCUAACUCCGUGCCAGCCGCCGCGGUAA